RNAcentral lists this ribosomal RNA (371 nucleotides) under uncultured bacterium. RNAcentral describes it as "bacterial SSU rRNA". It matches the Rfam family "Bacterial small subunit ribosomal RNA", at positions 527 to 896 of the family's 1533-position model. The record is from RNAcentral.
GGAGGGUGCGAGCGUUGUUCGGAAUUACUGGGCGUAAAGCGCGUGUAGGCGGCCUUGCAAGUCAGGCGUGAAAGCCCUCGGCUUAACCGGGGAAGUGCGUCUGAAACUGCUUGGCUUGAGUACGGGAGAGGGAGGCGGAAUUCCCAGUGUAGAGGUGAAAUUCGUAGAUAUUGGGAGGAACACCGGUGGCGAAAGCGGCCUCCUGGACCGAUACUGACGCUGAGACGCGAAAGCGUGGGGAGCAAACAGGACUAGAUACCCUGGUAGUCCACGCGGUAAACGAUGGGCACUAGGUGUGGGGGGUAUCCACUCCUCCCGUGCCGAAGCUAACGCAUUAAGUGCCCCGCCUGGGGAGUACGGCCGCAAGGUUA